This 396-nucleotide ribosomal RNA is filed under the name uncultured bacterium. Its description in RNAcentral is "bacterial SSU rRNA". It matches the Rfam family "Bacterial small subunit ribosomal RNA", at positions 505 to 898 of the family's 1533-position model. The record is from RNAcentral.
GUGUCAGCAGCCGCGGUAAGACAGAGAUGCCAAGCGUUGUUCGGAAUCACUGGGCAUAAAGGGCGCGUAGGCGGCUAUGUAAGUCAGGGGUGAAAGCCCCCGGCUCAACCGGGGAAUUGCCUUUGAUACUGCGUGGCUUGAGGUCGGAAGGGGAAAGUGGAAUUCCUGGUGUAGCGGUGAAAUGCGUUGAUAUCAGGAGGAACGCCGGCGGCGAAAGCGACUUUCUGGUCCGACUCUGACGCUGAUGCGCGAAAGCUAGGGGAGCAAACGGGAUUAGAUACCCCGGUAGUCCUAGCCGUAAACGAUGAGCACUUAGCAGGGGCGGUUCCUAUUACUGUCCUUGCUGCAGCAAAUGUGUUAAGUGCUCCGCCUGGGGAGUACGGCCGCAAGGUUAAA